This 285-nucleotide ribosomal RNA is filed under the name uncultured bacterium. RNAcentral's name for it is "partial 16S ribosomal RNA". It matches the Rfam family "Bacterial small subunit ribosomal RNA", at positions 773 to 1060 of the family's 1533-position model. The record is from RNAcentral.
GUGGAUUAGAUACCCUAGUAGUCCACGCUGUAAACGUUGCAUACUCGGUCUUAGCGAUAUACAGUUAGGACCUAAGCGAAAGCAUUAAGUAUGCCACCUGGGGAGUACGGUCGCAAGAUUGAAACUCAAAGGAAUUGACGGGGGCCCGCACAAGCGGAGGAGCAUGUGGUUUAAUUCGAUGAUACGCGAGGAACCUUACCCGGGCUUGAAAGUUAGUGACGAAUUCCGAAAGGAGUUUUUCUAGCAAUAGACACGAAACUAGGUGCUGCACGGUCGUCGCCAACU